GCCGGGCGUGGUGGCUCACGCCUGUAAUCCCAGCACUUUGGGAGGCCGAGGUGGGAGGAUCACCUGAGGUCAGGAGUUCCAGACCAGCCUGGCCAACAUGGUGAAACCCUGUCUCUA
Molecule: unclassified non-coding RNA, 117 nt
Organism: Pongo abelii (Sumatran orangutan)
Lineage: Eukaryota; Metazoa; Chordata; Mammalia; Primates; Hominidae
Rfam family: Metazoan signal recognition particle RNA
About the family: The signal recognition particle (SRP) is a universally conserved ribonucleoprotein. It is involved in the co-translational targeting of proteins to membranes. The eukaryotic SRP consists of a 300-nucleotide 7S RNA and six proteins: SRPs 72, 68, 54, 19, 14, and 9.
Source: Ensembl